GACGAACGCUGGCGGCGUGCUUAACACGUGCAAGUCGAACGGAAAGGCCCUGCUUUUGUGGGGUGCUCGAGUGGCGAACGGGUGAGUAACACGUGAGUAACCUGCCCUUGACUUUGGGAUAACUUCAGGAAACUGGGGCUAAUACCGGAUAGGAGCUCCUGCUGCAUGGUGGGGGUUGGAAAGUUUCGGCGGUUGGGGAUGGACUCGCGGCUUAUCAGCUUGUUGGUGGGGUAGUGGCUUACCAAGGCUUUGACGGGUAGCCGGCCUGAGAGGGUGACCGGCCACAUUGGGUCUGAGAUACGGCCCAGACUCCUACGGGAGGCAGCAGUGGGGAAUAUUGCACAAUGGGCGGAAGCCUGAUGCAGCAACGCCGCGUGCGGGAUGACGGCCUUCGGGUUGUAAACCGCUUUCGCCUGUGACGAAGCGUGAGUGACGGUAAUGGGUAAAGAAGCACCGGCUAACUACGUG
RNAcentral lists this ribosomal RNA (468 nucleotides) under uncultured bacterium. RNAcentral's name for it is "partial 16S ribosomal RNA". It matches the Rfam family "Bacterial small subunit ribosomal RNA", at positions 28 to 507 of the family's 1533-position model. The record is from RNAcentral.